Molecule: ribosomal RNA, 301 nt
Filed under: uncultured bacterium
Lineage: Bacteria
Description: partial 16S ribosomal RNA
Rfam family: Bacterial small subunit ribosomal RNA
Source: RNAcentral
CAGCCGCCGCGGGAAUACGAAGGGGGCUAGCGUUGUUCGGAUUUACUGGGCGUAAAGCGCACGUAGGCGGAUUCUUAAGUCAGGGGUGAAAUCCCAAGGCUCAACCUUGGAACUGCCUUUGAUACUGGGGAUCUCGAGUCCGGGAGAGGUGAGUGGAACUGCGAGUGUAGAGGUGAAAUUCGUAGAUAUUCGCAAGAACACCAGUGGCGAAGGCGGCUCACUGGCCCGGUACUGACGCUGAGGUGCGAAAGCUAGGGGAGCAAACAGGAUUAGAUACCCCUGUAGUCCCUGUCUCUUAUAC